This 256-nucleotide ribosomal RNA is filed under the name uncultured bacterium. Its description in RNAcentral is "partial 16S ribosomal RNA". It matches the Rfam family "Bacterial small subunit ribosomal RNA", at positions 526 to 779 of the family's 1533-position model. The record is from RNAcentral.
CGUAGGUGGCAAGCGUUAUCCGGAAUUAUUGGGCGUAAAAGCGCGCGUAGGCGGUUUUCUUAAGUCUGAUGUGAAAGCCCCACGGCUCAACCGUGGAGGGUCAUUGGAAACUGGGAAACUUGAGUGCAGAAGAGGAAAGUGGAAUUCCAUGUGUAGCGGUGAAAUGCGCAGAGAUAUGGAGGAACACCAGUGGCGAAGGCGACUUUCUGGUCUGUAACUGACGCUGAUGUGCGAAAGCGUGGGAUCAAACAGGAUU